RNAcentral lists this ribosomal RNA (429 nucleotides) under Gemmatimonadota bacterium. RNAcentral describes it as "Gemmatimonadetes bacterium partial 16S ribosomal RNA". It matches the Rfam family "Bacterial small subunit ribosomal RNA", at positions 355 to 776 of the family's 1533-position model. Lineage: Bacteria; Pseudomonadati; Gemmatimonadota. The record is from RNAcentral.
UAGGGAAUCUUCGGCAAUGGACGAAAGUCUGACCGAGCAACGCCGCGUGAGUGAAGAAGGUUUUCGGAUCGUAAAACUCUGUUGUUAGAGAAGAACAAGGACGUUAGUAACUGAACGUCCCCUGACGGUAUCUAACCAGAAAGCCACGGCUAACUACGUGCCAGCAGCCGCGGUAAUACGUAGGUGGCAAGCGUUGUCCGGAUUGAUUGGGCGUAAAGCGAGCGCAGGCGGUUUCUUAAGUCUGAUGUGAAAGCCCCCGGCUCAACCGGGGAGGGUCAUUGGAAACUGGGAGACUUGAGUGCAGAAGAGGAGAGUGGAAUUCCAUGUGUAGAGGUGACAUGCGUAGAUAUAUGGAGGAACACCAGUGGCGAAGGCGGCUCUCUGGUCUGUAACUGACGCUGAGGCUCGAAAGCGUGGGGAGCAAACAGG